This 886-nucleotide ribosomal RNA is filed under the name Bacillus inaquosorum. Its description in RNAcentral is "bacterial SSU rRNA". It matches the Rfam family "Bacterial small subunit ribosomal RNA", at positions 51 to 920 of the family's 1533-position model. Lineage: Bacteria; Bacillati; Bacillota; Bacilli; Caryophanales; Bacillaceae. The record is from RNAcentral.
AUAAUGCAGUCGAGCGGACAGAUGGGAGCUUGCUCCCUGAUGUUAGCGGCGGACGGGUGAGUAACACGUGGGUAACCUGCCUGUAAGACUGGGAUAACUCCGGGAAACCGGGGCUAAUACCGGAUGCUUGUUUGAACCGCAUGGUUCAAACAUAAAAGGUGGCUUCGGCUACCACUUACAGAUGGACCCGCGGCGCAUUAGCUAGUUGGUGAGGUAACGGCUCACCAAGGCAACGAUGCGUAGCCGACCUGAGAGGGUGAUCGGCCACACUGGGACUGAGACACGGCCCAGACUCCUACGGGAGGCAGCAGUAGGGAAUCUUCCGCAAUGGACGAAAGUCUGACGGAGCAACGCCGCGUGAGUGAUGAAGGUUUUCGGAUCGUAAAGCUCUGUUGUUAGGGAAGAACAAGUACCGUUCGAAUAGGGCGGUACCUUGACGGUACCUAACCAGAAAGCCACGGCUAACUACGUGCCAGCAGCCGCGGUAAUACGUAGGUGGCAAGCGUUGUCCGGAAUUAUUGGGCGUAAAGGGCUCGCAGGCGGUUUCUUAAGUCUGAUGUGAAAGCCCCCGGCUCAACCGGGGAGGGUCAUUGGAAACUGGGGAACUUGAGUGCAGAAGAGGAGAGUGGAAUUCCACGUGUAGCGGUGAAAUGCGUAGAGAUGUGGAGGAACACCAGUGGCGAAGGCGACUCUCUGGUCUGUAACUGACGCUGAGGAGCGAAAGCGUGGGGAGCGAACAGGAUUAGAUACCCUGGUAGUCCACGCCGUAAACGAUGAGUGCUAAGUGUUAGGGGGUUUCCGCCCCUUAGUGCUGCAGCUAACGCAUUAAGCACUCCGCCUGGGGAGUACGGUCGCAAGACUGAAACUCAAAGGAAUUGACGGGGGC